GGAUGUGGCUCUGGAGAAUCUCUAAGGAGUGCCGAAGGUGCAAGAUGUAAUAUAUAACAUUACAUUAAUCUCUCAGGCAAAAGGACAGAGUAUAAUAA
Regulatory RNA element from Anaerofustis stercorihominis DSM 17244, 98 nucleotides. It matches the Rfam family "Glycine riboswitch aptamer". Rfam says of the family: This family represents the bacterial glycine riboswitch. Glycine riboswitches usually consist of two metabolite-binding aptamers domains with similar structures in tandem. The aptamers cooperatively bind glycine to regulate the expression of downstream genes. The record is from Rfam. Lineage: Bacteria; Bacillati; Bacillota; Clostridia; Eubacteriales; Eubacteriaceae.